Non-coding RNA from Trichonephila clavipes, 82 nucleotides. The record is from the annotation of a GenBank genome assembly. NCBI's taxonomy places the organism in Eukaryota, Metazoa, Arthropoda, Arachnida, Araneae, Nephilidae.
GAUGAGGUUGCCCAGUGGCUAAGGCGAUGGACUGCUAAUCCGUUGGGUUCUGUCCGCGGGGUUUCGAAUUCUUUCCUCGUCG